UGCCAGAUCGUCUAAUGGUAGGACAGCGGACUCUGAAUCCGUCAAUCUUGGUUCGAAUCCANNAAGCCA
Molecule: transfer RNA, 69 nt
Filed under: Candidatus Wolfebacteria bacterium
Lineage: Bacteria; Candidatus Wolfeibacteriota
Description: tRNA-Gln
Rfam family: tRNA (bases 10-63)
About the family: Transfer RNA (tRNA) molecules are approximately 80 nucleotides in length. Their secondary structure includes four short double-helical elements and three loops (D, anti-codon, and T loops).
Source: RNAcentral